Molecule: transfer RNA, 73 nt
Filed under: Faecalimonas umbilicata
Lineage: Bacteria; Bacillati; Bacillota; Clostridia; Lachnospirales; Lachnospiraceae
Also listed under: 2 other names
Description: tRNA-Trp
Rfam family: tRNA
About the family: Transfer RNA (tRNA) molecules are approximately 80 nucleotides in length.
Source: RNAcentral
GGGCGUAUAGCUCAGUUGGUAGAGCGAUGGUCUCCAAAACCAUAUGUCAUCGGUUCAAUUCCGAUUGCGCCUG